Long non-coding RNA from Daphnia pulex (common water flea), 296 nucleotides. RefSeq lists it as uncharacterized. The record is from RefSeq and is a predicted model, not a curated record. Lineage: Eukaryota; Metazoa; Arthropoda; Branchiopoda; Diplostraca; Daphniidae. The transcript is spliced from 3 exons.
UGAUUAAAUGGUACGGAUCCAAUAGUGAAAGCUAUGUCUUCUAAAGCCAAAUAGUUUCUAUUUGCAAGUCAUAGUAAAUCUCCAAAAUAUUGCUGCCUUCCCCAGAUCCAAUUCUAUGCUGCUAUUUAUUUUGAGGACAACUGCCAGACAAUACUACUACUAAAGAGGUUGAGUGAAGUUUUGAGCACGGAAUGGGACGUACCCUACAGCCGGUCGGUAAAAUUGACAGCCGUCAGAAAACUUCUUCAGAUGAUUUGGCCCAGUGAAAAUCAUUUGCUAGAUUACCUGUAAAAAAU